RNAcentral lists this ribosomal RNA (490 nucleotides) under uncultured bacterium. RNAcentral's name for it is "partial 16S ribosomal RNA". It matches the Rfam family "Bacterial small subunit ribosomal RNA", at positions 30 to 507 of the family's 1533-position model. The record is from RNAcentral.
AUUGAACGCUGGCGGCAGGCCUAACACAUGCAAGUCGAAUGGUAACAGGAAGCAGCUUGCUGUUUCGCUGACGAGUGGCGGACGGGUGAGUAAUGUCUGGGAAACUGCCUGAUGGAGGGGGAUAACUACUGGAAACGGUAGCUAAUACCGCAUAACGUCGCAAGACCAAAGAGGGGGACCUUCGGGCCUCUUGCCAUCAGAUGUGCCCAGAUGGGAUUAGCUAGUAGGUGGGGUAACGGCUCACCUAGGCGACGAUCCCUAGCUGGUCUGAGAGGAUGACCAGCCACACUGGAACUGAGGCACGGUCCAGACUCCUACGGGAGGCAGCAGUGGGGAAUAUUGCACAAUGGGCGCAAGCCUGAUGCAGCCAUGCCGCGUGUAUGAAGAAGGCCUUCGGGUUGUAAAGUACUUUCAGCGGGGAGGAAGGGAGUAAAGUUAAUACCUUUGCUCAUUGACGUUACCCGCAGAAGAAGCACCGGCUAACUCCGUG